ACACAUACACACACACACACACACACAUACAAACACACACACACAUACACACACAUACAUACAUACACACACACACACACAAAUACACACACAUACAAACACACACACACAUACACACACAUACAAACACACACACACAUACACACACAUACAUACACAAAAGCAAAGUGAGAAAGUGACAGAGAGACUUGUCGAUGCUUCUGGACCCUCCUGUCAUCACGGAAACACACAGCUGCCAGGGCAACAAGCUUUGGACAUCAGCCAUUCAUCCUUCUUAUUCAUCCAUUAUUUCAUCCAUCCUUCCAAUUCAUCCACCCAUCCACCCAUCCAUACAUCUCGUCUCAUCCAUUCAUCCAGAGAGAGAGAGAGAGAGAGAGAGAGAGAGAGAGAGAGAGGAUCAGGCAGAGAGACAGAUAUAACAAAAAGAGAGACAAAGAAGAUAUACAUCAUCAUCAUCCUCAUCAUCAAGCUGCUGUACCAAGCAGAGUACCUGGAGAUCCUGAUCCUCUCUGAUCUCCGGACCUGCCUGAUCCAUUUCGGAUGUCCUACCUCUGGAUGGAGCUCUCAUCUUCUCCAAUUCCAGACUGCUGGGACUAUGGCUGCUCCUAAGGCCAAACAGACUUCAUAUAAAUCCAUAAUGAACUUUUUCACACUAUCUGUUGUUACAAAGAUGAGGAUGGGUUCCCUUCUGAGUCGGGUUCCUCUCAAGGUUUCUUCCUCUUAACAUCUUUUAACAUCGCCACCGGCUUGCUCAAUUGGGAUAAAUUCGCACAUUUAAAAUCUGUAUCCCGUGUUUAUAUAUUUCUGUAAAGCUGCUUUGAGACAAUGUCUAUUGUAAAAAGCGCUAU
Molecule: long non-coding RNA, 848 nt
Organism: Ictalurus furcatus (blue catfish)
Lineage: Eukaryota; Metazoa; Chordata; Actinopteri; Siluriformes; Ictaluridae
Exons: 4
Source: RefSeq, a predicted model, not a curated record